This is a non-coding RNA of Cicer arietinum (chickpea), 726 nucleotides long. The record is from RefSeq and is a predicted model, not a curated record. NCBI's taxonomy places the organism in Eukaryota, Viridiplantae, Streptophyta, Magnoliopsida, Fabales, Fabaceae.
AAUUUUUUAAGUAUAUGCAUUUAAACUGGUUUCUUUAAUCUGCGUUUCUUCACUCUUCCUGCGAACCCUCAUCUCCAUGUGAAACCCUUCUCGGUGCGAACCCUCCUCUCCUGCAAAACCCGUAACCCGUAUCUCAUCUUCGACACAACCCUUCUUUGUGUGAUCAGGUCUCAAACACGACUUCGCCAUCGCAUCUCAACAUCUCUGCCAUCAUAUGGUGUUGUUGCCUAUCCCUCACAAAAGUUUUUUCCAAAGAACAAUAAAGCUAGCGAAGAUUAUGGUUGUGGUCGUGAUUAAGAUGAUUUUGUAGCUUUCAUUAAUGAGAAAUGUGACACCAAUUGUGAUGAACAUGGUCAACUUACUUAUAAUGUUACUUUAUUAAUGUGUUUACUGUUUAAUUAAGCUAGAACACUAUAUUUGAUAGCUUAAUGGAUUAAUUAUUAUUGAUUUAGGCUGGUAUAGUAGCAUCUCUAGAUAAUUUGAUGAAGGAGUUUAUGAGUGUUGAUGAUGAUGAGAAGAAAAAGGUUGUCUUUUCUCGACUUGAAGAGGAAGUUAAGAAACUUAUGGGUUCUGCUGCAAGGUUUAAGCGAUAUCAUGUUUCCUUUUUUGUUUUGAUUUGCUUAUCUAAGACAAUUUCAUUGUAGAUAAUGCAAAUCAUGUUAAUCUAUAAAGUUAAUGCAGAUCAAGUUAAUGUGAAUCAUGUUAAUGACAUUCCUUCAACUAUCA